This 158-nucleotide small RNA is filed under the name Pseudocitrobacter faecalis. RNAcentral's name for it is "sroC RNA". It matches the Rfam family "sroC RNA". From Rfam's summary of the family: This family consists of a number of bacterial sroC RNA genes of around 160 bases in length. sroC is found in several Enterobacterial species. It base-pairs with GcvB. Lineage: Bacteria; Pseudomonadati; Pseudomonadota; Gammaproteobacteria; Enterobacterales; Enterobacteriaceae. The record is from RNAcentral.
ACUAAUUAUAACAACCAGGGCGGGACUACCUGCCCUCUCGAUUGUUGAAUAGCACGGACAGACUACAGGUCUGGCGGUCGUUCCCCGCCGGGCCCGAAUAUCGCAGUACGCCGUUCACCAAUCUUCGAGGGUAGCACUGCUACCCUUUUUUUUCUGGA